RNAcentral lists this ribosomal RNA (901 nucleotides) under uncultured archaeon. Its description in RNAcentral is "bacterial SSU rRNA". It matches the Rfam family "Archaeal small subunit ribosomal RNA", at positions 1 to 909 of the family's 1478-position model. The record is from RNAcentral.
UUCUGGUUGAUCCCGCCGGACCUGACUGCUAUCGGAUUGAUACUAAGCCAUGCGAGUCUUUGCAGUAAUGCAAGGCAUACGGCUCAGUAACACGUAGUCAACUUACCCUAUGGACGAGGAUAAUCUCGGGAAACUGAGCAUAAUACUCGAUAGAUCAUAAUGCCUGGAAUGGUUUAUGGUUGAAAUGAUUCGUCGCCAUAGGAUGGGACUGCGGCCUAUCAGCUUGUUGGUGAGGUAAUGGCCCACCAAGGCGAUUACAGGUACGGGCUCUGAGAGGAGAAGCCCGGAGAUGGGUACUGAGACAAGGACCCAGGCCCUAUGGGGCGCAGCAGGCGAGAAAACUUUGCAAUGUGCGAAAGCACGACAAGGUUAAUCCGAGUGAUUUCUGCUAAAGAAAUCUUUUGCAAGUCAUAAAACCACUAGUGAAUAAGGGGUGGGCAAGUUCUGGUGUCAGCCGCCGCGGUAAAACCAGCACCUCAAGUGGUCAGGAGGAUUAUUGGGCCUAAAGCAUCCGUAGCCGGCUCUGUAAGUUUUCGGUUAAAUCCAUGUGCUCAACGCAUGGGCUGCCGAAAAUACUGCAUAGCUAGGGAGUGGGAGAGGUAGACGGUACUCGGUAGGAAGGGGUAAAAUCCUUUGAUCUAUCGAUGACCACCUGUGGCGAAGGCGGUCUACCAGAACACGUUCGACGGUGAGGGAUGAAAGCUGGGGGAGCAAACCGGAUUAGAUACCCGGGUAGUCCCAGCUGUAAACGAUGCAGACUCGAUGAUGCAUUGGCAUAUAGCCAGUGCAGUGUCGCAGGGAAGCCGUUAAGUCUGCCGCCUGGGAAGUACGUACGCAAGUAUGAAACUUAAAGGAAUUGGCGGGGGAGCACCACAAGGGGUGAAGCCUGCGGUUCAAUUGG